AACGAACGCUGGCGGCAUGCCUAACACAUGCAAGUCGAACGAGACCUUCGGGUCUAGUGGCGCACGGGUGCGUAACGCGUGGGAACCUGCCCUUAGGUUCGGAAUAACUCCCCGAAAGGGGUGCUAAUACCGGAUAAUGUCUUCGGACCAAAGAUUUAUCGCCUUUGGAUGGGCCCGCGUUGGAUUAGCUAGUUGGUAGGGUAAAAGCCUACCAAGGCGACGAUCCAUAGCUGGUCUGAGAGGAUGAUCAGCCACACUGGGACUGAGACACGGCCCAGACAGGGACGGGGGAGAGAGGUGGGGUGUAGUAUGGAGUGGGGGGAAGUCUAAUCCAGCAGUGGGGGGGGAGAGAUCAAUGGAGUCGGGUUGGAAAGCGCUGUUUACCGGGGUGAGAAUGACAGUAAUGGGUGAAUAAGCAACGGCUAACUACGUG
This 433-nucleotide ribosomal RNA is filed under the name uncultured bacterium. RNAcentral's name for it is "partial 16S ribosomal RNA". It matches the Rfam family "Bacterial small subunit ribosomal RNA", at positions 29 to 507 of the family's 1533-position model. The record is from RNAcentral.